RNAcentral lists this ribosomal RNA (256 nucleotides) under uncultured bacterium. RNAcentral describes it as "partial 16S ribosomal RNA". It matches the Rfam family "Bacterial small subunit ribosomal RNA", at positions 524 to 777 of the family's 1533-position model. The record is from RNAcentral.
UACGUAGGCAGCAAGCGUUGUUCGGAAUUACUGGGCGUAAAGAGUGUGUAGGCGGUGCUCUAAGUUCGGUGUGAAAUCUCCCGGCUCAACUGGGAGGGUGCGCCGGAAACUGGGGGUGCUGGAGCGCGGGAGAGGAAAGGCGGAAUUCCUGGUGUAGCGGUGAAAUGCGUAGAUAUCAGGAGGAACACCGGCGGUGUAGACGGCUUUCUGGACCGUAGCUGACGCUGAGACACGAAAGCGUGGGUAGCAAACAGGA